AUUGAACGCUGGCGGAAUGCUUUACACAUGCAAGUCGAACGGCAGCACGGACUUCGGUCUGGUGGCGAGUGGCGAACGGGUGAGUAAUGUAUCGGAACGUGCCCAGUCGUGGGGGAUAACGUAGUGAAAAUUACGCUAAUACCGCAUACGAUCUAUGGAUGAAAGCGGGGGAUCGCAAGACCUCGCGCGAUUGGAGCGGCCGAUAUCAGAGUAGGUAGUUGGUGGGGUAAAGGCCCACCAAGCCAACGAUCUGUAGCUGGUCUCAGAGGACGACCAGCCACACUGGAACUGAGACACGGUCCAGACUCCUACGGGAGGCAGCAGUGGGGAAUUUUGGACAAUGGGCGAAAGCCUGAUCCAGCCAUUCCGCGUGCAGGAUGAAGGCCCUCGGGUUGUAAACUGCUUUUGUACAGAACGAAAAGGUUUCUACUAAUACUAGGAGCUCAUGACGGUACUGUAAGAAUAAGCACCGGCUAACUACGUGCCAGCCGCCGCGGUAA
This 500-nucleotide ribosomal RNA is filed under the name uncultured bacterium. RNAcentral describes it as "partial 16S ribosomal RNA". It matches the Rfam family "Bacterial small subunit ribosomal RNA", at positions 30 to 523 of the family's 1533-position model. The record is from RNAcentral.